RNAcentral lists this ribosomal RNA (253 nucleotides) under uncultured bacterium. RNAcentral's name for it is "partial 16S ribosomal RNA". It matches the Rfam family "Bacterial small subunit ribosomal RNA", at positions 524 to 776 of the family's 1533-position model. The record is from RNAcentral.
GACGAGGGGUGCUAGCGUUGUUCGGAAUUACUGGGCGUAAAGCGCAUGUAGGCGGUUAUUUAAGUCAGAUGUGAAAGCCCUGGGCUCAACCCAGGAAGUGCAUUUGAAACUAUUUAACUUGAGUAUCGGAGAGGGCAGUGGAAUUCCUGGUGUAGUGGUGAAAUACGUAGAUAUCAGGAGGAACACCGGAGGCGAAGGCGGCUGCCUGGCCGAAUACUGACGCUGAGAUGCGAAAGCGUGGGGAGCAAACAGG